This 425-nucleotide ribosomal RNA is filed under the name uncultured bacterium. Its description in RNAcentral is "partial 16S ribosomal RNA". It matches the Rfam family "Bacterial small subunit ribosomal RNA", at positions 354 to 796 of the family's 1533-position model. The record is from RNAcentral.
GUGGGGAAUCUUAGACAAUGGGGGAAACCCUGAUCUAGCCAUGCCGCGUGAGCGAUGAAGGCCUUAGGGUUGUAAAGCUCUUUCAGCUGGGAAGAUAAUGACGGUACCAGCAGAAGAAGCCCCGGCUAACUCCGUGCCAGCAGCCGCGGUAAUACGGAGGGGGCUAGCGUUAUUCGGAAUUACUGGGCGUAAAGCGCGCGUAGGCGGACCAGAAAGUUGGAGGUGAAAUCCCAGGGCUCAACCUUGGAACUGCCUUCAAAACUCCUGGUCUGGAGUUCGAGAGAGGUGAGUGGAAUCCCGAGUGUAGAGGUGAAAUUCGUAGAUAUUCGGAGGAACACCAGUGGCGAAGGCGGCUCACUGGCUCGAUACUGACGCUGAGGUGCGAAAGCGUGGGGAGCAAACAGGAUUAGAUACCCGAGUAGUCC